This is a long non-coding RNA of Daucus carota subsp. sativus, 594 nucleotides long. RefSeq lists it as uncharacterized. The transcript is spliced from 2 exons. The record is from RefSeq and is a predicted model, not a curated record. NCBI's taxonomy places the organism in Eukaryota, Viridiplantae, Streptophyta, Magnoliopsida, Apiales, Apiaceae.
AUGAAUACGACCAACUGGAAACUAAACUCAGAUUCAAAGAAACAAAUCAAGUUAGCAAAGUAUUAAUAGCAGAAAGCAACAAUCCAAAUAAAAAUCAACUUAUUUAGAAAUGUGAUGAAGAAGACUAGUUGAUGGAAUUAAUAACAUCUAGAACAUGUCCUUUAGAGCAAUAACAUAGCUAAUAUAAAUUUGAAUCCGAAAGCUGAUCAUUACAGGCAAACAAAAUUAUGUGCCUCUCAGCCUCUGAAAUGAGUAUUGUAGUGGUCAUUGGUCAAUAGCCAAAUGUUUCUCUUUUAUUAUUUGAAAUGGAAUCUGAAAGUGUUGCACCAGCAAAGAAAAACAUUCCAGCCCUCUUUGGUAAAACACAGCAUACAUUCACAGAAUGCUGAACACCUAUUUGUCACCAGCAAAUGCAAAACUGAAGUCCUUUGUUUGAACUUUCGCAUUAUGUAGCAUAGCAAUUUGCCAAUUUAUGCAGAAAACUAUGCUAAUUCUUAAUAUAUAACCAGCAGAAGUGUUUUAAAGGCCAAAACUACAGCAAAGUGUAAGAGGUGACUUAUAGCUUAAGCACAAUCUAUAAUAUCAAAAGAAAAA